Molecule: ribosomal RNA, 253 nt
Filed under: uncultured bacterium
Lineage: Bacteria
Description: partial 16S ribosomal RNA
Rfam family: Bacterial small subunit ribosomal RNA
Source: RNAcentral
UACGGAGGGUGCAAGCGUUAUCCGGAUUCACUGGGUUUAAAGGGAGCGUAGGUGGGCAGGUAAGUCAGUGGUGAAAUCUCCGGGCUUAACCCGGAAACUGCCAUUGAUACUAUCUGUCUUGAAUAUUCUGGAGGUAAGCGGAAUAUGUCAUGUAGCGGUGAAAUGCUUAGAUAUGACAUGGAACACCAAUUGCGUAGGCAGCUCACUACGGAAAUAUUGACGCUGAGGCACGAAAGCGUGAGGAUCAAACAGG